Molecule: ribosomal RNA, 381 nt
Filed under: uncultured bacterium
Lineage: Bacteria
Description: partial 16S ribosomal RNA
Rfam family: Bacterial small subunit ribosomal RNA
Source: RNAcentral
CCUACGGGUGGCAGCAGUAGGGAAUUUUCGGCAAUGGGGGGAACCCUGACCGAGCAACGCCGCGUGAACGAAGAAGUUAUUCGUAAUGUAAAGUUCUUUUAACAGGGAAGAAAGAGAAAUUUGGCGGUACCUGAAGAAUAAGCUCCGGCUAACUCCGUGCCAGCAGCCGCGGUAAUACGUGGGGAGCGAGCGUUAUCCGGAAUUAUUGGGCGAAAGGGGUGCGUAGAUGGCAUUGUAAGUCGUUUGUAAAAAUGCUGGGCUAAACCCAGUAGGGCAAAAGAUACUGCAAAGCUAGAGUAUGAUUGAGGCAAGUGGAACUAGAUGUGUAGCGGUAAAAUGCGUAAAUAUAUGUAAGAACACCAGUGGCGAAGGCGGCUUGCU